CGCGUAGGCGGACUGGCAAGUCAGAUGUGAAAUACAGGGGCUCAACCCCUGAACUGCAUUUGAAACUGUUGGUCUUGAGUAUCGGAGAGGCAAGCGGAAUUCCUAGUGUAGCGGUGAAAUGCGUAGAUAUUAGGAGGAACACCAGUGGCGAAGGCGGCUUGCUGGACGACAACUGACGCUGAGGCGCGAAAGCGUGGGGAGCAAACA
Molecule: ribosomal RNA, 207 nt
Filed under: uncultured bacterium
Lineage: Bacteria
Description: partial 16S ribosomal RNA
Rfam family: Bacterial small subunit ribosomal RNA
Source: RNAcentral